AAUAUAUUUUCUAUUUUUUUUAAUUAUAGGUAUUAUUGGAUUAUAUACAUAAAAGAAGACAAAAUAAAAAUCGCAUUAAGUCAAUCUUUUAAUAUUGAGUUUUCGAGUUUUCACAUCGGUUGUGGAUGUGUGUGUACGUGAGUUUAUAAGCGUUGCCAAGACUCUACUCAAUCAGUAAUUGUCUAGGUAUGAGUGUUGAUAUAGUAAAU
This 209-nucleotide unclassified non-coding RNA is filed under the name Hevea brasiliensis (rubber tree). The record is from RNAcentral. Lineage: Eukaryota; Viridiplantae; Streptophyta; Magnoliopsida; Malpighiales; Euphorbiaceae.